Molecule: transfer RNA, 85 nt
Filed under: Myxococcales bacterium
Lineage: Bacteria; Pseudomonadati; Myxococcota; Myxococcia; Myxococcales
Description: tRNA-Tyr
Rfam family: tRNA
About the family: Transfer RNA (tRNA) molecules are approximately 80 nucleotides in length. Their secondary structure includes four short double-helical elements and three loops (D, anti-codon, and T loops).
Source: RNAcentral
GGAUGGGUGACCCGAGCGGCAAAGGGAGCAGAUUGUAGUCCUGCUGUGUCUUUACACUUCGGGGGUUCGAGUCCCUCACCAUCCA